This 256-nucleotide ribosomal RNA is filed under the name uncultured bacterium. RNAcentral's name for it is "partial 16S ribosomal RNA". It matches the Rfam family "Bacterial small subunit ribosomal RNA", at positions 524 to 776 of the family's 1533-position model. The record is from RNAcentral.
GACGUAGGUGGCGAACGUUAUCCGGAAUUAUUGGGCGUAAAGGGUGCGUAGAUGGCCUGAUAAGUUAGCAGUGGGAAAUCGAGGCUCAACCUCGUGGAAGCUGGUAAUACUGUCAGGCUCGAGUGCAGGAGAGGUUAACGGAACUCCAUGUGGAGCGGUAAAAUGUGUAGAUAUAUGGAAGAACACCAAUAACGGCGAAGGCAGUUAACUAUUCUGUUACUGACAUUGAGGCACGAAAGCGUGGGGAGCGAAACGG